UUGACCUCGGAUCAGGUAGGGAUACCCGCUGAACUUAAGCAUAUCAAUAAGCGGAGGAAAAGAAACUAACAAGGAUUCCCCUAGUAACUGCGAGUGAAGCGGGAAAAGCUCAAAUUUAAAAUCUGGCGGUCCUCUGGCCGUCCGAGUUGUAAUCUGGAGAAGCGUUUUCCGCGUCGGACCGUGUACAAGUCUUCUGGAACGGAGCGUCAUAGAGGGUGAGAAUCCCGUCUCUGACACGGACUGCCGAUGCUUCAUGUGAUACGCUCUCGAAGAGUCGAGUUGUUUGGGAAUGCAGCUCAAAAUGGGUGGUAAAUUCCAUCUAAAGCUAAAUAUUGGCGAGAGACCGAUAGCGAACAAGUACCGUGAGGGAAGGAUGAAAAGCACUUUGGAAAGAGAGUUAAACAGUACGUGAAAUUGUUGAAAGGGAAACGUUUGAAGUCAGUCGCGUCGGCCGGGACUCAACCUUGCUAUCUUGCUCGGUGCACUUCUCGGUUGACGGGUCAGCAUCAAUUUUGACCGUCGGAUAAAGGCCGAGGGAACGUGGCAUCCUCCGGGGUGUGUUAUAGCCCUUGGUUCGCAUACGGCGAUUGGGAUUGAGGAACUCAGCACGCCUUCAUUGGUCGGGGCUUAAUCGCUCACGUUAACGU
RNAcentral lists this ribosomal RNA (647 nucleotides) under uncultured fungus. RNAcentral describes it as "eukaryotic LSU rRNA". It matches the Rfam family "Eukaryotic large subunit ribosomal RNA", at positions 1 to 647 of the family's 3401-position model. Lineage: Eukaryota; Fungi. The record is from RNAcentral.